This 484-nucleotide ribosomal RNA is filed under the name uncultured bacterium. RNAcentral describes it as "partial 16S ribosomal RNA". It matches the Rfam family "Bacterial small subunit ribosomal RNA", at positions 29 to 523 of the family's 1533-position model. The record is from RNAcentral.
AGUGAACGCUGGCGGCGUGCUUAACACAUGCAAGUCGAACGAGAACGGGUUAUAGCUUGCUAUAAUUGUCAGCUAAGUGGCGCACGGGUGAAUAAUGUAUAGGUAAUAUGCCUCUUACUAAGGGAUAACAAAUGGAAACGUUUGCUAAUACCUUAUACUCCUUUUAAACAGAAGUUUAAAAGGGAAAGAUUUAUUGGUAAGAGAUUAGCCUGUAUUGUAUCAGUUAGUUGGUGGGGUAAUGGCUUACCAAGACUAUGACACAUAACUGGUUUGAGAGGAUGAUCAAUCACAUUGGAACUGAGACACGGUCCAGACUCCUACGGGAGGCAGCAGUGGGGAAUAUUGCACAAUGGACGAAAGUCUGAUGCAGCAACGCCGCGUGGAGGAUGACACAUUUCGGUGCGUAAACUCCUUUUAUAUGAGAAGAUAAUGACGGUAUUAUAUGAAUAAGCACCGGCUAACUCCGUGCCAGCCGCCGCGGUAA